UCUACGGUGCAGUAAAACUGACGUUAACUCGAUAUUCUUUUGAUCGAUGUUUCGACUGAUCCAUACUUGCCUAAUUUUCUCUGAAGAGUCCUUCGGUACGAAAGAAACAUGAGAGGGAACGAGAGGGAUAGAAAGAGUCGGCAAGAGGGAGAAAAAGUGUUAAGAGGUUAAAGACGCUGAAUGACACCCACCUUUCGCUGGGACAUUCCGAUUUGAAACCAGCAAGAAGAAAGUCCCAUUUGUUUAGGCAAAUCGGGACCGUUUCCGUCGGUUUCUUAGAGAGGAAUUAGCGUCGGCCUAAGGAUUAGACAGACACAGCGGCUUGUGUCUGGUCUUGGGACAAAGGCAGCAGUUUAAAGAUUAGGCCCGAAUGCAUUUGCUCUAAUAGAGGCACCAGACAGUUUAAAUGAUGUAUCAAAUACUCAUACCCCGGUCAAGCAACGAAAAUCUUGACAAAGACUCAUUGUUGACCCUCAUCGAGGCAACAACUGUAUCGACAGAUCUUUCGGUCAAGUUCAAGUGACAUUUGAGAAAUCAAUCAAGUCGUACAAAGAAUCAAAAGCAAAGGAAUCGCUGUGUCUGCCCAAUACUGGCAGUACACGGCAUCGAUUUAAUGUUCUUUGUGCCUCUGAAAAAGAAAACCAGACAGACUUAGUGGUAGCUCGUGUGUACUUCUAGAGCCCUGCUACUGUCAACAAAUCGAAACUUUUACUAUCAAGAAUUUUGUCAUCAAAAUUUUCUACCAUCGAUCUAUAAAUCAUGAAAGUAAUCAAUGAAUUUUAUAAGUUAAUCUGCAACAUCUUUUAAAAAUCAAAUACAAUGUAUCGAAACGAGUGUUUAGGGUUAUUUAAAAGUAUAUACAAAGACACAUUGAAGUUAGAAAAUGGUACAGCAUUGCAUCCUAAAUUUAACCUCUUGCAAAUAAAAUUUCAACUGCGAAAGGUUGAAUUUAGUGUGAGAAACCUGUGUAACAGGACAUACGAAAGUUGAAGGUUAGGUUAUGACAGACCUUCCGAUUCGCAGGGCUCUAUCAUAUUGGAAUGGAAGUAUAUGAAACGCCGAAACGCAUCACACAGACACACACCGCUACUUGCACAGAUGCCAGCUGGUCUACUCUAACGCAUCACUGGCUAAUCCAAUAAGUGUUGCCAAUUCCCAUGAGCGUCUCUGUCUUUGCUCAGACACGGUUCGAAGAGGCUUCGCAGCUCUGAAUCUUACUUACCGAGGCCCCGGGCAGCAACAUCGGUGGCCACCAGGAUCGGAGCUCUACCACUGCGGAACUCCUGCAACACGUGGUCCCUUUCUUGCUGUUCCGAUCUCUUGAAGCAGUCUGAACAGCUUGACAUCCUUCUCAAAUUCCUGGCAGACGUCGACGAUUUGAACGAUGUUGUGGUUGGCAGAGAGAGUCAAGGAGCCGAUGUUAAGGAAAUCUAUCAGUCUGCCUGGAGUGGCGAUGCAUAUUUCCACUCCUCGUUCCAAGUCUUGAGCCUGGGGUCCCUUCGGAGCUCCUCCAAAGAUACAGGUGUUCCUGACGGAAGCUUGUUCGCCGAAACAAUUGGCCA
This is a long non-coding RNA of Orussus abietinus, 1562 nucleotides long. RefSeq lists it as uncharacterized. The record is from RefSeq and is a predicted model, not a curated record. The transcript is spliced from 3 exons. Lineage: Eukaryota; Metazoa; Arthropoda; Insecta; Hymenoptera; Orussidae.